GACCUGCACAGGUGCUGCAUGGCUGUCGUCAGCUCGUGUCGUGAGAUGUUGGUUAAGUCCCGCAACGAGCGCAACCCUUAUCCCUAGUUGCCAUCAGGUAAGCUGGGAACUCUGGGGAGACUGCCGGUGAUAAACCGGAGGAAGGCGGGGAUGACGUCAAGUCCUCAUGGCCCUUACAUCCCGGGCUACACACGUGCUACAAUGGCAGGUACAGAGGGCUGCGAAGCCGCGAGGUGGAGCGAAUCCCAGAAAACCUGUCUCAGUCCGGAUUGAAGUCUGCAACUCGACUUCAUGAAGGCGGAAUCGCUAGUAACCGCGAAUCAGCAGGUCGCGGUGAAUACGUUCCCGGGCCUU
This 354-nucleotide ribosomal RNA is filed under the name uncultured Latescibacterota bacterium. Its description in RNAcentral is "bacterial SSU rRNA". It matches the Rfam family "Bacterial small subunit ribosomal RNA", at positions 1027 to 1382 of the family's 1533-position model. The record is from RNAcentral. Lineage: Bacteria; Pseudomonadati; Candidatus Latescibacterota.